GGCAGUGUGGGGUAGUGGUUUGACUGUUGGACUGUGACUCUGGAGACCAGGGUUCGAUGCUCAGCUCAUCCA
Phrynosoma platyrhinos (Desert horned lizard) is the source of this 72-nucleotide non-coding RNA. The record is from the annotation of a GenBank genome assembly. NCBI's taxonomy places the organism in Eukaryota, Metazoa, Chordata, Lepidosauria, Squamata, Phrynosomatidae.